RNAcentral lists this long non-coding RNA (4733 nucleotides) under Sus scrofa (pig). Its description in RNAcentral is "lncRNA (ENSSSCG00005017722.1)". The record is from RNAcentral. Lineage: Eukaryota; Metazoa; Chordata; Mammalia; Artiodactyla; Suidae.
GGGCCGCACCCACGGCAUAUGGAGGUUCCCAGGCUAGGGGUCCAAUCGGAGCUGAAGCCACUGGCCUAUGUCACAGCCACAGCAACAUCAGAUCCGAGUCACAUCUGCUGACCUACACCAUAGCUCACAGCAAUGCUGGAUCCAUCACCCACUGAGGGAGGCCUGGGAUGGAACCUGUGUCCUCAUAUAUACUAGUCAGAUUUGUUUCCACUGAGCCACGACGGGAACUCCUGGUCUAUAUGAUAUGUCAGCUCUGCAGUGGAUAACUAACUCCUUGAAAAGUUCCUGUCUAAAAGACACUAAAAACUAUAAUCAAUUUUUAAAAAUGUUUUUUCUCACAGUAUUUUUAGUGUAUUGAGAUUAUAUUUUUAAAAAAACCUCACUAAUAGUAUAUUUUCCCUCUUCAAGCAGAUCUCUCAAAUGCUAAACGAGUUGUAAGCUGAUUUGUAACCCUCCUCAUUUGGUCUAUUUUAUAUUAAUGUUUAAUAUUUAAAAUACUAAUUUUUUAGGAUCUAUAGCCUAAUUCCAGGAGAAAAAAAAUGAUCAAUAUAUAAAAUUACUACCUUGAAUUCAAUCACUGCUGAGACUUAGUUUAUUCAAUAGAUAUUCUUCUCCUUGGCUCCUGUGGAACCUGAGUAAUCUGGAUAUAUAAGAACCCAAAUAUACCAGACCCUGCCUCAGCUGACCCGCUGUAACUGAGACCCUUCAGCCCCACUGUGUGUUGCCUCUGCCUGGAAAUGCAGCUUCCAGCCCACCUCUACCUCCUCACCUGUCUCUCUUCUCCCACUUCAUGCCUCCCUGUCAUUCAAGCCUCAGACUUAAGGCUUGAUUAGCCUGGCUUAACCAGCCAUCCUGGUAGGCAGGACACAACUACAGGCAUUUCCACUGUAGUAGAUCCUUAAAAGAAACAAAGAGAAGCAUCAAACAGUAACUUAUUUUCUAAGCAGGUAUUAUAUUUUCAAAAUUUCUUAUGACUUCUUGGAUUCCUUUCCAUUUUUUCCUAGUCUUUUCACUUCAGUUUGCACAUUUUUAAAUAUCCUCAAAAUAGCUUAUCUUGAAAUCUUGCUUCCCAUUUGGUAGAGAACCCAGAAGGAGAAUGGUGCCUUUCUGAAAAGCCAAAUAACUCUGUGUCAUAUCGUAACAAACAAAACCUUUACUUGGGAGCAAAGUAUCACCAUAGUUAAAUACUCCCCAGAUGCCUGCUCUACUACCAGAGUGUAAACAGAUAUUUCCCAGUCUGUAUUUACCUCUUCAAAAUGCAGCCCUUUAAAAUACACUCUCUCACACACACACACACACACACACACACACACACACACACACACAGCACUGAGGUUCUCAACUCUUAAUUUUGGUUUCCCGCCCCCCACCCCCUGUUUAGGGAGACUAAUGGGCAUUAGAACCCGACCUAUUAUCCUGGAAACUUGAUUGAUUGGCCAGACUUCAUAGAAACACACCUGGCCUGCGAGGGGGAGGUCCCCAUUGGUGGGAGCAUUACUGCUCCCUAGGGGCUUCCAGUGAGGAACAUGCAAUAGCAAGAAACAAGAAGAAAAGCUUAAACAUCUCUACGAGUAGAAUCCAGUAUGGGGACCAUCUCGGAGUGUCUAAAUUUACUCCAUCCUUGGAACUUUCCAGGGCUUCCUUGGAAGAAGUGCAGCCAUCAUGUUCCACCUGGCACUGCUGUACAGACUGGUGCACAAGGGUGAACAAAAGCAGUAUGGCCCCAGCCUCCCAGAGCUUAGCUUCAGUGGGGAAACAUAGUAUACACAUACUCUCAAAAACAAAUAUAUGAGCAGAAAUUUGGUUCCAGAAAGUUCCAGAAAGAAAAAGUUCUGUUUGCAUGGGAAUGUAACUGGGUGACUUGGUUUAGAUUUGAGGAGUCAGAAAAAGCCCCAGUAAGGAAAUGUGGGGGUACUUGGGGCAGGCACAUAUAUAAAGCCCCAAGGGUCUGUGAGAGCUCAGUCAACUGCAGAGACUAAAGAAACGUCAGUGGGCAGAAAUGUCUGGAUCAUCAUGGGCGAAUAUUUUUCUCAGGAGAAGAUCAACAGUGAUGGUUUUACAAACCUAACAACUUUUAUUUGUUUAUUUAUUUAUUUGUAUUUUUAGGGCUGCACCCGAAGCAUAUGGAAUUUCCCAGGCUAGGGGUCCAAUUGGAGCUCCAGCUGCCAGUCUACACCACAGGCACAGCAAGGCCAGAUCCGAGCCACAUCUGCGACCUACACCACAGCUCACAGCAAUGCCAGAUCCUUAACCCACUGAGCCAGGCCAGGGAUCAAACCUGCAUCCCUCAUGGAUCCUAGUCAGGUUCCUUUCCACUGAGCCAUAAUAGGAACUCCAAACCUAACAGCUUUGAAGUUACUUCUUUGAAGAUAAAAUUUGACAAUGCAAUAAAAUUACCACUUGGUUAGGGGGGUGAUCUAAAAAUAUUCAUUAGGGAUUCAGUUCAACCAUACACAAAAGAGAAGCUAACAACAGUGACUAACACUGUAGUGAGGUUUCUUGUUCUCAGUUACUGGUUGUUUGGUGGCUCAAGGUCUCUGUGAUUCUUGGCUUUUCCUACUUGGAUUCCAGUCACUACCGCAACCUUCUAGGCAGGGACAGGAGUGAUGUGCAUAUCAGGAAAGCAAAACUUUAGAGCUUGUCAGUAGACUUCUCAUAAAUUUUAUUGGUCAAAACACUGUAAUGUGGCCAAUCCAAGUUGCCAGAGAAGAUGGGAAGUGUUUUUAAGCUGGGCAUCAAAAUUGGGUUCUGUAAUUAAGGAAAUAAGGGAAGAUGGAUAUUGGAUGGACAAUUACUUAUCUUUGCAACCAAUGUUUUUUUUUUUUCUGCCUACUCUGUAGGUGGAAAUGCUUUUUUCUACUCCUAUGCAAAAUUUGUCAUGAGUUUCAAUAAAUUAUGACUUUGAGGCAUGUGUUUAUUAUUCUUUCAUUAUUCUGUAUGGUCCCCAAUAGUCCAAGGGAGUCUGUUGAGUAUUAAGUGCACUUCAACCAAAAUGAAUCUUCUCCGAUGAAUCAUUUGAUUAACAAUUUGUGUUUAACAUGGAUUUGUUUCCUUUAGAGUUGGGUUUUGUCCCAGUCCCUAAAACCAGAGCAUCAUUAUCUGUUCUGCUCCCCUGUUAAAGGCAGACAGCCAUGUAUUGGUUUCUGAAGCCUGCCUGCUGUGGUUCGGGAAUAAAAGAAAACAAACUUUCAGAAUGAUUUUAUCCAGCCAAGAUGCAUGCCAUUUUCAGAUCGGCUAUUGCAUUUAUAUUUUAGAACUGUAGAUAGACUUUUCCCAUCAGUAUUUUCUGAGAUCUUUGUUUAAUUGAACAUCACAUUGGGUUGAACUUAGGGAGCCAAGAAGAUGAUCAAAUCUGAGAGAUAGAAGGCAUGAAGGGGCCAUAUCUCCAACAGACAUGUGGAACCACAACAUAUCCGCAUUGUGUUAAUUCAUCCAUGGUUGGGGUACACAGUUCUGUGUAGGUUUUGGUACAUUUUGUAUGGACAGUGCUUUAGCCAGCCUAUAUAAUGGCCUCUGUUUAUCUCUACAUUUUGGUAUUCUUACAUUCUAUCAGGAUUGAUAUCUGUGACCAAUAACAUAAAUACUAUUGGCUUAGGUCAUAAAAGAUAUUGCAACUUCUGUCUUGCUCUCUCUCAGAACUCUCAUUCUGAAAGAAGCUAGCUGCCAUGCUGUAAGGACACUCAACAGCCCUAUGAAGAGACUCACAUGAUGAGUUUAAAGACUAAUGCUAAUAGCCAGUAAGGAACUAGGAUCUUCUGCCAUCAGCCAUGUGAGUGAGCUGUCUUGGAAGCGGAUCCCCCAGCUCUCAUUAAGCCUUACGAAUGCAAGACGCCUAGGUCAACAUCAUGAGAGACCCUGAGCUAGGAUGACCCAGCUGCUCCUAUAUUCCUGACUCAUGGAAACUGUGAAGUAAUAAUUGUUUGUGGUUUUAAGCUACUAACUUUGGGGAUAAGUUAAUUUGCAGCAAUAGGUAAUAUAUCACAUAUUUUUGCUUUAUACUCUGGGGUCAUCAUGGUACUGAUGAGUGGUGGCUUGGCCCAAGCAUGCGCAUAGAUCGUGAAGUUAACACUCUUGACGAUGAUCAUUGACUAACGAGAUGGAAGCUGACGGAUAUAUGGACCUGCUGCCUAUAUCUUUCAGAAGAUGGUUCUGGAAGCCAUUAGGUGGAUUUCUCUGGUGGUCCUUGAGAAGAAUCAAGCCCUUGGUUCCUGAAAUCAUGUAUUCCUCUCCUUUUCUUCUUCUUUUUAAUUUUUUCAUUUUCUUUUUUUCCCCUCUUUUGUUUUCUUUUUUUGGGUUGCCUCCACAGCAUAUGGAAGUUCCCAGGCCAGAAGCUGGAGCUGCAACCUCCAUCACAGCUGCAGCAAAACAGGAUGCUUAACCCCCUGUGCCACACUGGGAACUCCUCCCCUCCUUUGUUGUCUUACUUUUCCUGAUCUCUCUCUCCUGCUUCCUAGGACCGCCUCCCAGAUCAUCUAUCUGCACACAAGCCCUGGUAUGGGGCUCUUGCUUCAGGGAAACCCAAGCUAGGACAAGGAGGGUGUGAAUAAAUACCACAUGCCCCCAGGACUGUCCUCAAUGAGAGUGUACAUUUGACUUAGUGGAUGAGAGCAGCAGCUUAGCCUAGCUUGAAUGGAAUGUACAAAUAAGAAGCUUAUUUUAUUGGAGGACUUCUUUAGCAGUCUAAUGAUAAAUUCUUGUUUCUUUUUCUUCAUUUAAAAAAAAAAAAAAAAAAA